RNAcentral lists this ribosomal RNA (497 nucleotides) under uncultured bacterium. RNAcentral describes it as "partial 16S ribosomal RNA". It matches the Rfam family "Bacterial small subunit ribosomal RNA", at positions 28 to 507 of the family's 1533-position model. The record is from RNAcentral.
GAUGAACGCUGGCGGCGUGCCUAAUACAUGCAAGUCGAGCGAACGGACGAGAAGCUUGCUUCUCUGAUGUUAGCGGCGGACGGGUGAGUAACACGUGGAUAACCUACCUAUAAGACUGGGAUAACUUCGGGAAACCGUAGCUAAUACCGGAUAAUAUUUUGAACCGCAUGGUUCAAAAGUGAAAGACGGUCUUGCUGUCACUUAUAGAUGGAUCCGCGCUGCAUUAGCUAGUUGGUAAGGUAACGGCUUACCAAGGCAACGAUGCAUAGCCGACCUGAGAGGGUGAUCGGCCACACUGGAGCUGAGACACGCUCCAGACUCCUACGGGAGGCAGCAGUAGGGAAUCUUCCGCAAUGGUCGAAAGCCUGACGGAGCAACGCCGCGUGAGUGAUGAAGGUCUUCGGAUCGUAAAACUCUGUUAUUAGUGAAGAACAUAUGUGUAAGUAACUGUGCACAUCUUGACGGUACCUAAUCAGAAAGCCACGGCUAACUACGUG